GUCUUUCUAGUAUUAACGAGUAUACGUGACUUCCACUCUCUAGGUCUUGGUUCAAAUCCAGGGAAAGAUA
Molecule: transfer RNA, 70 nt
Filed under: Gerres filamentosus (whipfin silverbiddy)
Lineage: Eukaryota; Metazoa; Chordata; Actinopteri; Gerreiformes; Gerreidae
Description: tRNA-Gly
Rfam family: tRNA
About the family: Transfer RNA (tRNA) molecules are approximately 80 nucleotides in length. Their secondary structure includes four short double-helical elements and three loops (D, anti-codon, and T loops).
Source: RNAcentral